This 580-nucleotide ribosomal RNA is filed under the name Parhydraena asperita. Its description in RNAcentral is "partial large subunit ribosomal RNA". It matches the Rfam family "Bacterial large subunit ribosomal RNA", at positions 1819 to 2650 of the family's 2925-position model. Lineage: Eukaryota; Metazoa; Arthropoda; Insecta; Coleoptera; Hydraenidae. The record is from RNAcentral.
GUCCUUUUGAUUANUAANUUUAAGGUCUAACCUGCCCAAUGNANNAUUANUUUAAUGGCUGCGGNNUAUUUUGACUGUACGAAGGUAGCAUAAUAAUUAGUUUUUUAAUUAAAAGCUGGUAUGAAUGGUUGAACGAGAAAAUUACUGUCUCAAGUUNAAANUUUUUAGAAUUUUAUUUUUAAGUUAAAAAGCUUAAAUAUUUUUAAAAGACGAGAAGACCCUAUAGAGUUUNUAUAAUUAAUUUANAUUNNUUNAUNUUUUAGNAAAANUNNNUAUUAAUUNAAAUAAAUUAUUUUAUUGGGGUGAUAGAUAUAUUUAAUAAACUUUAUUNUAAANUUUUUACAUAAAUUUAUGAAUUAUUGAUCCAUUAUUNUAUGAUUAUCAGAUAAAAUUACCUUAGGGAUAACAGCGUAAUCUUUUUAAAGAGUUCUUAUCGAAAAAAAGGAUUGCGACCUCGAUGUUGGAUUAAAAUUAAUAUUUGGUGUAGAAGCUNAANAUUAUUAGGUCUGUUCGACCUUUAAAAUUUUACAUGAUCUGAGUUUAAACCGGUAUGAGCCAGGUUGGUUUCUAUCUUUAAAUA